GACGAACGCUGGCGGCGCGCCUAACACAUGCAAGUCGAACGAGAGAUGAGGAGCUUGCUCUUCAAAUCGAGUGGCGAACGGGUGAGUAACGCGUGAGGAACCUGCCUCAAAGAGGGGGGACAACAGUUGGAAACGACUGCUAAUACCGCAUAAGCCCACGGCUCGGCAUCGAGCAGAGGGAAAAGGAGCAAUCCGCUUUGAGAUGGCCUCGCGUCCGAUUAGCUAGUUGGUGAGGUAAUGGCCCACCAAGGCAACGAUCGGUAGCCGGACUGAGAGGUUGAACGGCCACAUUGGGACUGAGACACGGCCCAGACUCCUACGGGAGGCAGCAGUGGGGAAUAUUGCACAAUGGGGGAAACCCUGAUGCAGCGACGCCGCGUGGAGGAAGAAGGUCUUCGGAUUGUAAACUCCUGUUGUUGGGGAAGAUAAUGACGGUACCCAACAAGGAAGUGACGGCUAACUACGUG
Molecule: ribosomal RNA, 467 nt
Filed under: uncultured bacterium
Lineage: Bacteria
Description: bacterial SSU rRNA
Rfam family: Bacterial small subunit ribosomal RNA
Source: RNAcentral